Molecule: ribosomal RNA, 253 nt
Filed under: uncultured bacterium
Lineage: Bacteria
Description: partial 16S ribosomal RNA
Rfam family: Bacterial small subunit ribosomal RNA
Source: RNAcentral
GACGAACCACACGAACGUUAUUCGGAAUUACUGGGCGUAAAGUGUGCGCAGGUGGCCUCGCAAGUCGAGUGUGAAAUCCCCGGGCUUAACUUGGGAAUUGCGCUCGAAACUACGGGGCUCGAGUGUGGCAGAGGGAGGUGGAAUUCCACGUGUAGCGGUGAAAUGCGUAGAGAUGUGGAGGAACACCAAUGGCGAAGGCAGCCUCCUGGGCCAACACUGACGCUCAUGCACGAAAGCGUGGGGAGCAAACAGG